Molecule: ribosomal RNA, 488 nt
Filed under: Methylophilus sp. UMB 17
Lineage: Bacteria; Pseudomonadati; Pseudomonadota; Betaproteobacteria; Nitrosomonadales; Methylophilaceae
Description: bacterial SSU rRNA
Rfam family: Bacterial small subunit ribosomal RNA
Source: RNAcentral
UUUCCUGCAGUCGAACGAUGAACCUUAGCUUGCUAGGGGGAUUAGUGGCGAACGGGUGAGUAUAUAUCGGAACGUACCUUGUAAUGGGGGAUAACUAGUCGAAAGAUUAGCUAAUACCGCAUACGCCCUGAGGGGGAAAGUAGGGGAUCUUCGGACCUUACGUUAUAAGAGCGGCCGAUAUCUGAUUAGCUAGUUGGUGGGGUAAUGGCCUACCAAGGCGACGAUCAGUAGCUGGUCUGAGAGGACGACCAGCCACACUGGAACUGAGACACGGUCCAGACUCCUACGGGAGGCAGCAGUGGGGAAUUUUGGACAAUGGGCGCAAGCCUGAUCCAGCCAUUCCGCGUGAGUGAAGAAGGCCUUCGGGUUGUAAAGCUCUUUCGCAAGGGAAGAAAACUUACACAAUAACACUGUGUGAGGCUGACGGUACCUUGAUAAGAAGCACCGGCUAACUACGUGCCAGCAGCCGCGGUAAUACGUAGGGUGCG